GGUUUAUUAGAAGCCCAUGUUCAAAUGGUUUUGUCCAUCUAAUUUGGGAGUUAAUGGAUUUCAGUCCAAUUGGACAACUUUGAUUUUUGGAUCUAAUAUGGUCAGACCAUUUGGUUUUGGACCUGGCUAACCCAUGCAUGGUCAGUAAACCCAUUUGAUAUCCCUAUGCUCAAGUCUGGUGGAUCUUCUGAUUCUAUUGGGAAUGCCACUUAUCUAGAUACAUCGGAUCUUAGUGGAUGCUCAAGUCUGAAGGUGCUCCCCUACUCUAUUGAAAAUUGUUGUAAAUUUCCUCGUUUCAAUUUGAAAGGGUGGUCAAAGACAACGGCUCUUCCAACCAAACUCAACUUCCGAUCUGGUGGUGCACUUGAUCUCCCACAAAGGACAAAAUCCAAAACGUUCGUUAGAAGCCCUCUGCCUAAAACCACAGAACAAACAUAAACGAGAGAGUAAAGAGCGUCUGAGUGUGUGAUGAUAAAAACACAAGACAAAAACUAAGAACAAAAACAGAGUAACAAAGAUGAUGGAGGGGCUGGCCGUGAGAAGAGUGAGAUGAGAGGUCAAGCCAAAGAGAAAAGUUCAACAGACGCAAAAGACAACAACAGAUUGUGAUCAAACAUUCAGAGAUCUCUCGAGGAGCAAAACAAAACAAUAAUGGUGUUUCCUAGAAUACUUGCUUUCCUCGAAGUUCUCAGCGCCCUCCUCUUUCUACCGUCUUGAUUACGUCUGUUCUUUACAGUGCUUUUGUGGUCAAAAGUACUGACACAAAGAUGCAUUUCAGGAUGCUCCAGGUGAACAUCAUACGCAGAGGCCGGAGGUAUAUUAGGUUGUUUAACUCCUUGGUUUUAAACUCAGUGAGGCAAUCUUAUUGGAAAGAGGUAUGUAUGUUUAUGAGCUGGGUUUUGCAUCCUUCUUUUGACUGAUUUUUCACAAGAGUCUCAAAGUUGUGAUUAGUGAUUUCAAGGUUAAGGCGGUUUGAUAAACUAAAGGCAAAAGCUGAAAAGGUGCUGGAGAUUUGUAUUGAAACAGAUCCUAAUUUGAGAUAACUACGUUGCUCUUAACGUGAAUAUAACUCUACUUUGGUUGGAUCUAAAUCCCCAAAUGAAGACGUACACACGCGAAGCAGCUGCGAAAGCAGGAUAGAAACCCAAAGACUUUAGUUUCAAGCAAGGAGUAGGAGAAGCUAUACCUUUAGAUGAUGCUUCCGUGGAUGCAGUCGUUGCGACACUUGCUCUAUGUUCUGUCUCCAGGGGCGGACCCACGUACAGGGAGAGUGGGGCAUGAGCCACAUACUAAUAAAAUUAAAUCCUUGUACAAAUUUCAUGUACCAAUGGAAUCGCUAGCUUUUACGGCUGAUGGUGCUUGAAAUAGCUCAACUGUGCCCCACCCAGCUCGGUUCGCAUCCCACGAAAUACUGUGUGUUUUUCAUAAUUAUCUACACUUUUCGAUUCUUUUUCCUUUUUUUUUGCUACCUAAAACUAUCUUUCUGUUUUACUAUUCUUUCCCUUUCCUAAUAUUAGUUUUUGACAAAGUGAAAACUAUAAUUCAUAUAAAGGUAUUCUAACAAGUUGUUUUAUUAAGUUUAUUUUUAAUAUUUAGAUUAAAAUAAGUAAUAAAAUAAAUAAAUGUAUUUCAUAAUGAAAUUAUCAUGUGCUAUAUAAUAUUAUUUAAAUUAUUUACAAUUAGAAAAGUUGUUUACCUUUUCAUAUGACUUGGAAAAAUAAAAAUGUGAGUUUUAAUGAUU
Brassica napus (rape) is the source of this 1741-nucleotide long non-coding RNA. RefSeq lists it as uncharacterized. NCBI's taxonomy places the organism in Eukaryota, Viridiplantae, Streptophyta, Magnoliopsida, Brassicales, Brassicaceae. The transcript is spliced from 4 exons. The record is from RefSeq and is a predicted model, not a curated record.